Molecule: non-coding RNA, 1400 nt
Organism: Taeniopygia guttata (zebra finch)
Lineage: Eukaryota; Metazoa; Chordata; Aves; Passeriformes; Estrildidae
Source: RefSeq, a predicted model, not a curated record
CAUCGUCCUCCCUCAGCUCCUUUCCCAUCCCCGGAUCUGCGUGCCCAAAUGUUUUAGCAGGCAGAUCGCCACAGAAAUGACCAUUUUUUACUAUUAUUUACCCACUUUUCACCCCCAGAAAGGCAUCGAGUGAUCACUCUCUGCCUGACCCCCUAAACAAACGCCCCUUCCCACCUGAGCUGGACAUUUGCAGGCAGCCAGAGCGGCCCGAGGACCGAGAUGAGUAAUUCCCAUUAAAGUGGGGAAAGAGCCUUUUUUCCCCGAGCUGAAGGAAUAAACGGCAUUGAUGGGAAAUGUUGUCCUCAUCCCCCGCCCCCUCCCCCUGCCUAUCUGCAUGGAAUACCCUCCCGAACGUGGAUUUUUUAAGGUCUCAUUGUUCGGCGAGAGGGUUGAGAUUAUUUUUGUAGGGUUUUUUCUUUUUUUUUUAAUUUUUUUUUUUUUUGGGGAGGGUUUUCCCUGCUCCUGCCGGGGAUGCAGAGCCCGGCCGCUGCAGGUGCUGCUCCUCACGCUGGGAAUCUCCAGUUCUCCUAAGUUUGGGAAUGGAGAGCUGGGUCAGAGCACAACACCCACUGAGCAGUGGGGUUUUUCCAGCCCUUUCUUGCUUUAUUUUCAGGCUCAGAGCUCUGGGAUGCUCCCACCCAGGGCUGCUCAGGCUGUUCCUGCAGCUCUCCUUUAAUCUUGAGCACCUUCAGUGUCGUUAGCAGCUCCAACCUUCCAGCCACUGGCUGUUCCUAAAAAGCUAAAUAAACUCAGUUCCUCCGAGCCCAAAAAGCAGCGAGGAUAUUUUGCCUUUGGUGUCACUAAUUAGCCUCCCACGGAAGCUGAGAUCAGGAGAAAGGGACAUAAGGAGAGAGUUCGUGCAGCCUUGCAGGACUCUGAGCAUAUUCUACAGGAGGGGGGAAAGAAAUAUUUAUCUCUCAGCCCCAAACUCGGUGAAACCGCUUCAUUUUCGGAGUUUCCCGCACUCCGAAAUGCGGGCUGGAUAAUUUCUGCAAAUUCAAUUAGAGUUUGGAGCCCGUGGCCACUCUGAUCAGAUCUGUGUAAAUAACAUUGUCCCCAGCCUGUGUUGUCACCUCUGAAAUGCUCUCUGGAUCGCAGCCUAGCUCUGUCUUUUCUUGUGCUGGAGUCAGGGUGGUGCUGGAUUUCGGAGCUUUUUGCAUUUUAUUGCUCUUGAUUUUUUUUUUAUUUAAUUUUUUUUAGGUUUUUUUUUGGUUUUGUUUUGUUUCUUUUCUAGUCCGUUUUGAUUCUGACAGUUUUUAAAGGUGAGGCUCAUUUUUUGUGAGGUUAAGAAGAAGGAGAGAGUAAAAGGUACCGUAUCUUUCUUCUUAAUUGUUUGGCUUAAGUCUGAAACAUCUGAAAAAACACCCUUAAAAUGAUCUUAGAAGUAACAGUCGCUUAAU